GUAUCCUGGCUCAGAUUGAACGCUGGCGGCAGGCCUAACACAUGCAAGUCGAACGGUAACAGGAAACAGCUUGCUGUUUCGCUGACGAGUGGCGGACGGGUGAGUAAUGUCUGGGAAACUGCCUGAUGGAGGGGGAUAACUACUGGAAACGGUAGCUAAUACCGCAUAAUGUCGCAAGACCAAAGAGGGGGGACCUUCGGGCCGUCUUGCCAUCGGAUGUGCCCAGAUGGAGUUAGCUAGUAGGU
This 245-nucleotide ribosomal RNA is filed under the name uncultured bacterium. RNAcentral describes it as "partial 16S ribosomal RNA". It matches the Rfam family "Bacterial small subunit ribosomal RNA", at positions 14 to 253 of the family's 1533-position model. The record is from RNAcentral.